This 89-nucleotide small nucleolar RNA is filed under the name Phaeomoniella chlamydospora. RNAcentral describes it as "Small nucleolar RNA snR73". It matches the Rfam family "Small nucleolar RNA snR73". Lineage: Eukaryota; Fungi; Ascomycota; Eurotiomycetes; Phaeomoniellales; Phaeomoniellaceae. The record is from Rfam by way of RNAcentral.
UCUUAUGAUGAUUUACUCUAUUUAUCACGACGGUCAACCUAGCUUCUAGCCUUGAUGACCACAGCCUGUGACAGGGCUUUGAUCUGAUC